Cyprinus carpio (common carp) is the source of this 276-nucleotide long non-coding RNA. Lineage: Eukaryota; Metazoa; Chordata; Actinopteri; Cypriniformes; Cyprinidae. The record is from Ensembl.
AUGCAAUCAUAUAAUUCCCUUGAUUUGGGAUUUUUGAUAAAUGGUCACUGUCCUUUAUUUUCUCACAGGGUUUUUGAGGAGACCAUUCCUUUUGAAAGCCUUGAGCUCCAUGACGAUGCUGAUUUACCGGAGGAUGAUGUAAAGCCAGAGAAAGUUGGGCCAGAAACAUCUCUAAAGCUGAAAGAUCUCAUCCCUGUACUGUACCAGGAGGGAAGUUAUCAAGGAGAGCCUGUCACUCUUGGAGUCGGGGGGUUUGGAAAAGUGGAGCUGGUAUGA